RNAcentral lists this ribosomal RNA (441 nucleotides) under uncultured bacterium. Its description in RNAcentral is "bacterial SSU rRNA". It matches the Rfam family "Bacterial small subunit ribosomal RNA", at positions 9 to 449 of the family's 1533-position model. The record is from RNAcentral.
GAGUUUGAUCCUGGCUCAGAUUGAACGCUGGCGGUAUGCUUAACACAUGCAAGUCGAACGGCAGCACGGACUGUAGCAAUACAGUUGGGUGGCGAGUGGCGGACGGGUGAGUAACACGUAGGAAUCUGCCCUGUAGAGGGGGAUAACCCGAGGAAACUCGGGCUAAUACCGCAUAGUAUCUUUGGAUUAAAGCUGGGGUUAAACCUGGCGCUAUGGGAGGAGCCUGCGUCUGAUUAGCUAGUUGGUAGGGUAAAAGCCUACCAAGGCGACGAUCAGUAGCUGGUCUGAGAGGAUGAUCAGCCACACUGGGACUGAGACACGGCCCAGACUCCUACGGGAGGCAGCAGUGGGGAAUAUUGGACAAUGGGGGCAACCCUGAUCCAGCAAUACCGCGUGUGUGAAGAAGGCCUCGGUUGUAAGGACACUUAGGUCGGGAAGGAA